ACCAAGCGCAAUCUGAGCUACUUUGCUUGCGAUUCUCGUGAUUUGGAGUUGGUUAUCUCGGAUCGAACGAUUUUCCUGACAAUCUUUACCAAAUCCAUUUGGUGUUCCUUGGUUAUUCCGUCAGACAAGGAAGCAGAGUUUGAAGUUGUUCAGGUUGGUUGCUGGUUGUGGUUUGGAUCUCCUCCGUUUUCCCCUGUUUUUUUGUCCGGCGAUCUGCAUCAUAUUCGUCAAGUCUACAUUUCAGUCUUUUCCCCUUCUACAAGGAAGUUAUCCUCUUCCUUGCUUGAUUGGUCUUUCUUGUUC
RNAcentral lists this unclassified non-coding RNA (303 nucleotides) under Zea mays. Its description in RNAcentral is "misc RNA Zm00001eb294410". The record is from RNAcentral. Lineage: Eukaryota; Viridiplantae; Streptophyta; Magnoliopsida; Poales; Poaceae.